This 217-nucleotide small nucleolar RNA is filed under the name Prunus dulcis (almond). RNAcentral's name for it is "sRNA ncRNA". Lineage: Eukaryota; Viridiplantae; Streptophyta; Magnoliopsida; Rosales; Rosaceae. The record is from RNAcentral.
AAAUGGAAGUGAGAAUGAGAGUGAAGAUGGGAAUGAGAAGAAAGAUGAGAGGGAAGGAUGGGAGGAAGAAGUAACAGAAGUGAAAAAAAUAAAAACUAAAAACUGAAAUUUAUUUGAAAUUGUUUUCACUUUCAAGUUUUUGUUUUCACUUUUGUUACUCCUCCUUCUCAUCCUCUCUCUCAAUCUCACCCUCACUCCCAUAUCUCACUCUUAUUUU